UAUCCAUGGUGUGGACAAUCUCUUUCGUAUUCCCUAAAUCUUUCCCAAGUAUCUAAAAGAUCUUCAUCUUUUUUUUGUUUAUAAGUUCUUAUCUUGUUUCAUAAGAAA
Molecule: small nucleolar RNA, 108 nt
Organism: Eutrema salsugineum
Lineage: Eukaryota; Viridiplantae; Streptophyta; Magnoliopsida; Brassicales; Brassicaceae
Rfam family: Plant small nucleolar RNA R71
About the family: R71 is a member of the C/D box family of snoRNAs containing the C (UGAUGA) and D (CUGA) box motifs. Multiple nearly identical copies of this snoRNA have been identified in Arabidopsis, and it is thought to function as a 2'-O-ribose methylation guide for 18S ribosomal RNA.
Source: Rfam